This 103-nucleotide small RNA is filed under the name Flavobacterium sp. 1. RNAcentral's name for it is "Flavo-1 RNA". Lineage: Bacteria; Pseudomonadati; Bacteroidota; Flavobacteriia; Flavobacteriales; Flavobacteriaceae. The record is from RNAcentral.
UUCUUGCGUGAAGGAUGGAAGUGGCAUCUCCCGAUUUAGAAAAACAAGGCUUUUUUGCCGUAGUUUUUGUUAAUCGGGAAUACAGCGGACAGCCUGACCUCGU